UAUAAGUGUAACCAUAAGUUUCCAUAUCCAAUUUUGAAUAUCCGUCUUAUUUAAUUUUUUUUAUAAUUAGUAUUUUUAUUGUUAAAACAUGACUAGUACUUUGCGCGUCACUUAUGUUUUCAAAUUUUUUCAAAUAAGACGGACAAUCAAAGUUGGGCACGGAAAAUCAUGGCCACUUAAA
This is a non-coding RNA of Oryza glaberrima (African rice), 181 nucleotides long. The record is from Rfam. Lineage: Eukaryota; Viridiplantae; Streptophyta; Magnoliopsida; Poales; Poaceae.